Molecule: ribosomal RNA, 83 nt
Filed under: uncultured bacterium
Lineage: Bacteria
Description: partial 16S ribosomal RNA
Source: RNAcentral
UCACGAAAGUGGAUUGUACUAGAAGUCUGCAGGCUGACCCGCAAGGGAGGCAGCGGCCCAAGGUAUGAUACCAUGAUUGGGUG